RNAcentral lists this small nuclear RNA (21 nucleotides) under Arabidopsis thaliana (thale cress). RNAcentral's name for it is "snRNA_01807". The record is from RNAcentral. Lineage: Eukaryota; Viridiplantae; Streptophyta; Magnoliopsida; Brassicales; Brassicaceae.
GAAUGCAGCCCCAAUCGGGCG